GCCAUCGCUGCGGAACUGAACAAGAAGUACACGGUCAUUCAGGAUGCCUUCGUGGCCAUGCUGCCGCCGCCGCCGGUCGACGGCCUCGGCACCACCGGCGGCUUCAAGCUCCAGCUCGAAGAUCAGGUGGGGCNNUACGAGGCGCUGGACGAAGCCAAAAAGGCCUUCCUCGCAAAAGCGAUGCAGGCGCCGGAGCUGACCGGAUUGUUCUCGAGCUACAAGGUCGACGUCCCGCAGCUUUACGCGGACAUCGACCGCACCCGCGCGCGUCAGCUCAACGUGCCGAUCACCAGCAUCUUCGAAACGCUGCAGGUUUACCUCGGCUCGUACUACGUCAACGACUUCAACAAAUUCGGCCGCGUCUACUCGGUGCGCGUGCAGGCCGACGGCAAGUUCCGCGCAAGGCCGGAAGAUGUCGGCCAGCUGAAGGUCCGCUCGACCACCGGCGAAAUGAUUCCGCUCUCGGUGCUGUUGAAGCUGCAAUCCGCCGCCGGUCCUGAAAGCGCGAUGCGCUAUAACGGCUUCCUCGCGGCGGACAUCAACGGCAACAACGCGCCGGGCUAUUCCACCGGCCAGGCCCA
Molecule: unclassified non-coding RNA, 581 nt
Filed under: Hevea brasiliensis (rubber tree)
Lineage: Eukaryota; Viridiplantae; Streptophyta; Magnoliopsida; Malpighiales; Euphorbiaceae
Source: RNAcentral